GGAUGUAAUGAUGAGGAGUAGGAAGUUGGGGGUGAAUGGAAUGUUGUGGGUCGACAGUUGCAUGAGGUAAGAACAACAGUUGGGAACUGAACAAGGACUUCUAGGAAAUUCUUCUGAGGACAGUGUCUUGAGGGAGGAAACACAGAAUGGAGUAGAAGAAGGAGUUUCUCGGGGCCAUUCAAGACACCUGUGGAGGUUUCUGUGAAGGACAGAAAUCCUAAUAUUGAAGGUUCCUGUUUAAACAUCGCUGGUUCCCUUCAAGAAACUGAAUUUCUUCAAAGAUAUUCAUUUCCAUGAACUAUUGAGAUGCUGGACUCAAAUUGGUUAGGACGUCUUCUUUGAAUGCAUCUAUCACAGACAAAUGUCCUACGUUUGCUCCUUCACUUUUAUUUUUUUAAAAGGACCUUGACUUAGAAUAAUAGAAUUUUAGAUUCCUGUGUUCUACAGAUCCCUCAGUCUAGUCAGAAGUCUGAGUGAGGAGGGCAGGCUCUCUGUGUAUGGAGGUAAGGAGCACAGUUUUGCCUGAGGCCACCCCUCAAGUCUCUGCAGCUUCUACUAUUUACUGCCCUUCUCUGCACUAUCUCCAUGCAGCACCAAAGGUCCAUGCUCUUCAGCCUGCUGGGAUCUCAAUUUGAGCUGCUCUCAGGGGGAUCAUGUGGAAAGAGAUGGAUUGGGGAAAGAAGAAGUGUGAAUUUACUUGGGACGUCAUGUAAGGAGUUUCGAAAAGUGUAAUAAAGGACCCUGGAAAGCUCUGUGAGUUUAGAAAAGGUUGGGUUCAGUAUCUGGCAAAAGAGAGACAUAAGACAUAAGAUAUAGGCUACUACUGGCGAAGGCAUUUCCUACAGAGACACUUAAUAAUAAUAGCCCACCCAUUUGAAUUUUGAAGCUCAUGAAUCUCUCAGGAUUUAGUUUCAUGAAAGUCAGUGUUCUUUUCACCAUAGAACACUUCUGGAGAAUGGAUUUAACAAAGACUCAAGUAGAACCCACGACAAAGAGCCAAGUAGUAUAUCUGAUGAUUCCAAAGAUCAGACCAUGAGACUAACAUGCCACUUCAGUUCACACUAAUGGGGGCUGGAAUCCAUGUGCCUUCUCUAUGUCAUGAAGAGAGGUGCCCUACUUAAAGAAGCCAUUAGUGUCCCAAUUGUUUCAUAGCUGUCCUGAUGGUUUUGAAUUCUGUAUUCUUAAUGUGGAAGUUAUUAAACUGCCUUGAGCUUUACAAAGCCUUAAUGUGUCUGUGAUAACUCCCCAAGGUUUAAAAGCAAUAAGGAGGGCACUUGCCAAUUUCUUCCUAGCUUGAAGAAAUUGAAGCCAUC
This 1313-nucleotide long non-coding RNA is filed under the name Monodelphis domestica (gray short-tailed opossum). RNAcentral's name for it is "lncRNA (ENSMODG00000032426.2)". The record is from RNAcentral. Lineage: Eukaryota; Metazoa; Chordata; Mammalia; Didelphimorphia; Didelphidae.